GAUGAACGCUGGCGGCGUGCCUAAUACAUGCAAGUCGAGCGAACAGACGAGGAGCUUGCUCCUCUGACGUUAGCGGCGGACGGGUGAGUAACACGUGGAUAACCUACCUAUGAGACUGGGAUAACUUCGGGAAACCGGAGCUAAUACCGGAUAAUAUAUUGAACCGCAUGGUUCAAUAGUGAAAGACGGUCUUGCUGUCACUUAUAGAUGGAUCCGCGCCGCAUUAGCUAGUUGGUAAGGUAACGGCUUACCAAGGCAACGAUGCGUAGCCGACCUGAGAGGGUGAUCGGCCACACUGGAACUGAGACACGGUCCAGACUCCUACGGGAGGCAGCAGUAGGGAAUCUUCCGCAAUGGGCGAAAGCCUGACGGAGCAACGCCGCGUGAGUGAUGAAGGUCUUCGGAUCGUAAAACUCUGUUAUUAGGGAAGAACAAAUGUGUAAGUAACUAUGCACGUCUUGACGGUACCUAAUCAGAAAGCCACGGCUAACUACGUG
Molecule: ribosomal RNA, 497 nt
Filed under: uncultured bacterium
Lineage: Bacteria
Description: partial 16S ribosomal RNA
Rfam family: Bacterial small subunit ribosomal RNA
Source: RNAcentral